Hippocampus comes (tiger tail seahorse) is the source of this 204-nucleotide long non-coding RNA. RefSeq lists it as uncharacterized. The record is from RefSeq and is a predicted model, not a curated record. The transcript is spliced from 2 exons. NCBI's taxonomy places the organism in Eukaryota, Metazoa, Chordata, Actinopteri, Syngnathiformes, Syngnathidae.
GUGUGGCGCGCCCGCAACGUCGCCUGGAGCCGCGACUUCCGGAUGCGGGAGUUGGAAGGACGCAUCAGGGCUCUGGAGAAGGAGAACGAGAUUCUCCGACAGAAGCAAUUAGGCCAAUCUAACAGCAGCACGCUGCACAUCAAGACCGAGGAGCUGUCGCGGCAAUUCAACGAGCAGCUCAGCAUCAUGAAACAGGAGAAGGAG